AUUUGUCUGGUUAAUUCCGAUAACGAACGAGACCUUAACCUGCUAACUAGAUUUUAUCAUCUUAUGAUUGAUAUCUUCUUAGAGGGACUAUGUAAAACAAAUACAUGGAAGUUUGAGGCAAUAACAGGUCAGUGAUGCCCUUAUAUGUCCUGGGCUGCACGCGUGCUACACUGAUGUAUACAACAAGUGCCUAACCAGACAUGGUAUGGCAAUCUCGAAUAUGCAUCGUGAUAGGGAUAGAUCUUUGCAAUUAUAGAUCUUGAACGAGGAAUUCCUAGUAAGUGCAAGUCAUCAUCUUGCAUUGACUAUGUCCCUGCCCUUUGUACACACCGCCCGUCGCUCCUACCGAUACCGGGUGAUCCGGUGAACCUUUUGGACCUGUAAGGGGAAGAUAAGUAAACCAUAUCACCUAGAGGAAGGAGAAGUCGUAACAAGGUUUCCGUAGGUGAACCUGCRGAAGGAUCA
This 465-nucleotide ribosomal RNA is filed under the name uncultured ciliate. RNAcentral's name for it is "SSU rRNA". It matches the Rfam family "Eukaryotic small subunit ribosomal RNA". Lineage: Eukaryota; Ciliophora. The record is from RNAcentral.